CGUCACCAGGAGGAGCGCACUGGAGCCAAGCCGCAGACGGGACUCCAGACUCCAAAGAGGCCACACCAUGAAGAUUCUCCUGCUGUGUGUGGCACUGCUGCUGACCUGGGACAAUGGCAUGGUCCUGGGAGAGCAGGAGUUCUCUGACAAUGAGCUCCAAGGUCCCCUUACCUGGCUCUCCUAUUCUUCUCUCAAAGCUGUGUCCGGACCCUUUGAAAGUUUGUCAGUCUCCCCUUUGUGUGACAACCAGAGUUCUUACCAAUGUGUCUCCAAGCUGAUUUCCCCCUGGAAACCUUGCUCUACCAGUUUCCUUCUCUGGAAAAGGGCAGCACAGUUCAACAUGAAGUAGUCAACUGAGAGCGUUCUCUCCCUUCCUCCCCAUCUUCUAAUGCUUUUCUGGAAACCCGCCUUUCCUCCCUCCUUCUCUCCUAAUCUCCCGCUCAUAGCUGACCAGUUCUGUGAGAAUUUCAUUAAAAAUAAUAUGAUCUG
RNAcentral lists this long non-coding RNA (489 nucleotides) under Rattus norvegicus (Norway rat). RNAcentral's name for it is "long non-coding RNA NONRATT011008". Lineage: Eukaryota; Metazoa; Chordata; Mammalia; Rodentia; Muridae. The record is from RNAcentral.